GAAUAAUUUUGUAACAUAGGUGCCUAAAUAGGUUAAAAGGGAAGACCAGUUAAAAUCUGGCGCAGCCCCCGCUACUGUAAGCACUGACAAAAUCUUUGAUAUCCACUGGCUAUUAAGCUGGGAAGGAAAGAAAGUAGGAUGAAGUGUAAGCCAGGAAACCUGCCUAUGAUACAUUUUUGUU
This 181-nucleotide non-coding RNA is filed under the name Paramaledivibacter caminithermalis. Lineage: Bacteria; Bacillati; Bacillota; Clostridia; Peptostreptococcales; Caminicellaceae. RNAcentral also lists the same sequence under 1 other name. The record is from RNAcentral.